UGGGGAAUUUUGGACAAUGGGCGAAAGCCUGAUCCAGCAAUGCCGCGUGUGUGAAGAAGGCCUUCGGGUUGUAAAGCACUUUUGUCCAGAAAGAAAUCCUUGGCUCUAAUACAGUCGGGGGAUGACGGUACCGGAAGAAUAAGCACCGGCUAACUACGUGCCAGCAGCCGCGGUAAUACGUAGGGUGCAAGCGUUAAUCGGAAUUACUGGGCGUAAAGCGUGCGCAGGCGGUUUGCUAAGACCGAUGUGAAAUCCCCGGGCUCAACCUGGGAACUGCAUUGGUGACUGGCAGGCUAGAGUAUGGCAGAGGGGGGUAGAAUUCCACGUGUAGCAGUGAAAUGCGUAGAGAUGUGGAGGAAUACCGAUGGCGAAGGCAGCCCCCUGGGCCAAUACUGACGCUCAUGCACGAAAGCGUGGGGAGCAAAC
This 426-nucleotide ribosomal RNA is filed under the name uncultured bacterium. Its description in RNAcentral is "partial 16S ribosomal RNA". It matches the Rfam family "Bacterial small subunit ribosomal RNA", at positions 355 to 773 of the family's 1533-position model. The record is from RNAcentral.